This is a long non-coding RNA of Rosa chinensis, 345 nucleotides long. RefSeq lists it as uncharacterized. The transcript is spliced from 2 exons. NCBI's taxonomy places the organism in Eukaryota, Viridiplantae, Streptophyta, Magnoliopsida, Rosales, Rosaceae. The record is from RefSeq and is a predicted model, not a curated record.
CAAAAUUCAUUGACUCAUGGUUUAAAAGAACAAAUGUUGAGUCUUCAAGUUCAAAUGUAGUUUCUGAACCUUCCAUAUCCUCUCCAAAUAUUGAUGUUGAACCUCAACCUUCCAUUCCUGAACCACAAAAUAAUAUCAACGGUCUUGAACCUUGUGGAACUCGUAGAGUUAGAUUUAGUUAGUUUAGGUUCUUGUAUUGCAUUGCACGUUUAUUUUGUUAUUGAUUUUGUUUUUUAGUUUUGUAUAGAUAUGCAUUUGAAGGGUAAGGCUCACUACAUCCCCCCUUGACUAGGUGUAUAUUUUUCUUAAAUUAAUAAAAUUCUCUCGCACCGUCGAGAUUCUCUA